GGAGCCUACGGGGCGCAGCAGUGGGGAAUAUUGCACAAUGGGGGGAACCCUGAUGCAGCGACGCCGCGUGAGUGAAGAAGUAUUUCGGUAUGUAAAGCUCUGUCAGCAGGGAAGAAGAAAGACGGUACCUGACCAAGAAGCCCCGGCUAACUACGUGCCAGCAGCCGCGGUAAUACGUAGGGGGCAAGCGUUAUCCGGAUUUACUGGGUGUAAAGGGAGCGCAGGCGGGAAGCCAAGUCAGCUGUGAAAACUACGGGCUUAACUUGUAGACGGCAGUUGAAACUGGUUUUCUUGAGUGAAGUAGA
Molecule: ribosomal RNA, 305 nt
Filed under: uncultured bacterium
Lineage: Bacteria
Description: bacterial SSU rRNA
Rfam family: Bacterial small subunit ribosomal RNA
Source: RNAcentral